Molecule: long non-coding RNA, 215 nt
Filed under: Elaeis guineensis (African oil palm)
Lineage: Eukaryota; Viridiplantae; Streptophyta; Magnoliopsida; Arecales; Arecaceae
Description: long non-coding RNA (EGUI_LNC076131)
Source: RNAcentral
CCUAUAUCUAUAAAUAAAGCCUAAUGCCUCCAUUCAUAGUAUCUCUCUCCACUCCAUAAUUCUUGUUGGGGGUCUGUGUGAUAGGCAGACAUACCCACCUUUAAAAUUUUUUAGCCACCUUAUUUUCACUUUCUUCCACCCUUCCAACACACAAGAAGGAGAGUCAGCCAGGGUAAGGUUGAUCCCAAGCCAAGAGAAUGAGAGAAGUCUGAUUU